Molecule: long non-coding RNA, 8325 nt
Organism: Gallus gallus (chicken)
Lineage: Eukaryota; Metazoa; Chordata; Aves; Galliformes; Phasianidae
Source: Ensembl
UUCAUGGCUCUGAGAACAGCUCUGUUCGGUGCCUGGCAAACUGAUUAACAUGGCAACGUUAAUGUAUAUCUAGUGUUUCUUUGCAAGUUAAUAGAGCAGCUAUGCAUAAUUCUUCUGUGUAUCGAGGAAGACCUUCAUGUUAUGCUACCAGAUAUGUAGAAUGCAAGUUUUCCCUGCCUCACCAAUAUGUCAUUCGUGCUUCAGGCUGAACAGAUCCAGCUCUCUCAGCCUGUCCCCAUAGGGAAGGCAUUCCACCUUUGGAUCAUUUCUGUGGCCCUCCUUUGGAUGUGUUCCAACAGGCCCACAUCUCUCCUGUACUGAGGACUCCACAUCUGGAUGCAGAACUCCAGGUGGCAGCAGAGGGGCAGUCUGACAGAAUGGCGUCUGACAUGGAAGUGCCUAUGAAGCAAAGGUGUGUAACUGAGUUUCUCCAUGCAGAAAAAAUAGCACCCACCUCCAUUCAUCAAUGAUUGCUGAACAACUAUGGAGACCAAGCAUUGGAUGGGAGCACAGUGAGUAGCAAUCCAAGAAGCAUUCACUGUGGCCUGCUGACUUAAAGCAUAUCAGAACUCCUACCAUUCACCCCAAGGAUUUUGUCUUUAAUGGAUGUAGAGGAUGAAAGUGAUUGCAAAUCUACAUUAAGCCAAGAGGUGUCGUUGAUUGCAUGGAAAUUUUGGUAUCAGAAAAAUUUCAGUCAUCUCAACUUACUCAUGAUGCUUGUCUCCAAAUGCGCUGUGCUCACAGAUUCAUCAAACCCUCAACAAUCUACAGCCACAUCCUUGUGUUAUGAAUCAGAACAGAAGUUGUAGAAAAAAAAAAGCUCACAGUAUUUGCCAUUAUUGAAUAUAAUCACAAGCAAAAUGGUAUCAAAUUUGCUGAGCAGUGAAAAAAAGAAAAAGAGAAGCCUUUGGCUGUAGUUAUUAGUUGAGGACAAAGCACCUAUUACAGUGGGAAUAGAAGAUAUCUGAUUUUCUUUGAAAUUGGGAAGGCAAUGGAAGGUGGAACCUCAGCCACCAAUGAUAUGCAGACUAUUUUGAGAGUGCACCUAAGCUGACUGACUUCCUUCAAUUGCCAACUGCAGCCUGUUCUUAAGUUGGCAUCUCCCCAGCAUGAUCUCACUGAAUAUCACAGCUCACAGGGAAUCAAAAUCCUCCGCAGGGCUGCGCAGUGUUGUGCUUUGCUCAUCCCAGUUCUGAAGGAAAGAAACACUUUUACGUAUUAUUGAUUUCUUAACUUCUUAUCAGUUUUAUUGACUGUUUUUGUUUUGUUUUGUUUUGUUUUGUCCCCCGAUGUCAAGACAUGUUACUCUUUCUAGGGUUUACUCAGUAGAAACUGCAGCAAGCCCCAUCACUGAUUGGAAACCCACCCUCUGAAUGGCACAUUCUAUUGCGCAGGUUGUGGUAAACUAAUUAAAGGAGUCCAUCAUUGAUAAUCUAAGAAUUGAAGUAAUUAACUUACAAUCAUGGUCUGUCUUAGAAUUCCUAGAAGAGCUACUAGAGUUUUUUUUAUUUGUGAUUUUUUUCUUUUUUUUGUAAAUUUUGUUCCCCUGUGGUUAUUCCAUUCAUUAGAAAGAAGUAAGGGAAGAAGGAAUGGACUGUGUGAGUUAAUUGUUGACUCAUCACUGAUCUCCCUGCUUUUCUUUUUUUCACUGAAGUUGAAAGAUUGGACGAAGUCCUAAAACAAGAGCAGAGUUCUCUUUCCAUCAUAUGUAAGAUGUAAAUUAAAUUUAUAAAUGUUGGACCAUACAAGGAAAUCAUUUUUGAUAGUUCAUGAACGUUCAAAACACUUUUGAAGUAUUAGCAUUGCGUGAUUUACCUGGAGAGUGAACUAAAUAUAGAAAUUCUGUUUUUGGUUUCUGAAAAGUAGUGUUAAUUUUUUUAACACUUCAUCUCUCAUUUUUCUUUUUUUUAUUGCCACAUUUUCUCUGGUGAUCAUUAGAGAAAAAAAAAAAAAAGGCAAAAGAAAAGAAUUUUGUCUGAAUGCCUGACUGAAGAAAAUCCAAGAACUUAAAAAAAGAAUUUAAAGAUUCUAUUUAGCAAAAUUAAAAUAAAUAAAUAAAUUCAAAUUCCAAGAUGUUUCUGAAUGGCCAGCUUAAGCUCGGAUUAUUAGUGUCUUGUGUUAUGGGGAGGGAGAGCCUCAGACUCACUUUGUUUCUGGAGUGCAGCAUUUUGAAUGUGUUAUUGAAAUUAUUAAAAAAAAAAAACUGCAAAACUGUAGUGAGAGACAUCAGAGAAUACUACAUGCUUGCUUAAUGGUGGCUUGAAACCACACAGCAUUACAAAAACUUACAAUAAAUAUGAAACAGAUGCAAAGAACUCAAGUGUAAGAAAUGUUACAGUUUUUGCAAUUGGACAGCCUCUAAUCCACAAAAGCACUGUGACUACUAGCUCCUUUUGAUUUUAAAAAAGAUCUCUAAAUAUCUUUGCUUGUCUCGAUUAAGUGCUUACACUUCCAUUUAUAUCAAUGAGAUCUUAAGAGUCGAUUUUAAAACAUCAAUAAUUUUUAUAAAUCCAGUGAAGGUUGAAGGCAUAAUUGUUCUUAAUUUUUAUUGAUAAAUGGAAAAGUUGAAUUAAAAAUACACCUUUUUUUUUCUGCUUAAAUUGCAUAAGAUUCAGAUUUUGUCUUUACAUCUUGGAUUCUAGUGGUGAAUCUUGGAUCUUGGAUACAUUGGUGGUGAAUGGAGUUAAAUCCAACUGGCGAAUGGUCACAAGUGGUGUUCUCCAGGGAUCGAUAUUGGGGCCCAUCCUGUUUAAUAUCUUUAUUGAUUAUUUGGAUGAGAUGACAGGCUGGAUCAAUGGGCUGAGGCCAAGUUCAACGAUACCAAGUAUUGGGCUCUGCACCUGUGUCAUGACAACUCCAUACAGUGCUACAGGCCUGGGACAGAGUGGCUGAAAAACCAGGUGGAGGAAAAGGACUUGAAGGUGUUAGUUGACACUCAGCUGAAUAUGUGCCAGCAGAGUGCCCAGAUGGCAUCCUGGCUUGUAUCAGAAAUAGUGCAGACAGCAGGAGCAGGGAGGUGAUUGUCCCACUUUACCAAACUCUGGUGAGGCUGCACCUUUUUACUGUUCUCAGUUUUGGGUCCCUCACUACAAGAAAGAAAAUUGAGAUUCUGAAGCAUGUCCAGAAAAGGGCAACAAAGCUGAAGUGACAGAUUUCAGUGUGUUUUCCAUGGUAUGUCCAUUAAUACUUUCUCCUUUUCUCUACAUCUCAUGUUAAGAACAGAAUUUACCUAAAUGUUGAAUUCUGCGUUUGUCCAUGGAAAGAUUCUUCUUUUCUAAACUCUCAUUAUAAGAGGAUACCUCCCUAAAAAGAUGCUCAUUGGCUUGCCAUUACUAUGUUCUGGCUCUCAUAGAAAUGCCUUCUUUCCAAGGAGCCACAAGCAUGUCACUGCAAGAUAUUGCAGCAUGAAACUGAAGUCCAGGCUGUUCUUCAGCAGUGUAAGUGAAAAUGGAAAAGAAAUUUUACAUCAUCAAAGUAUUCUUUAGAAGUAAAGAAGGAUUCAUUAGCUACUCAAAUGACCAGCCAUAGCCAAGGAAAGGCAUUUUAAUGGUUAGGGCAUUAAUCUAGGGAUCUGUUUUCCACUCCACCACAGACAUCCCUUGUAACCUGAGAAAAAACAUUUUGUCUCUCUGCAUCUCAGUUCUACAUCUAUCAGUGGUUUUCUAGGCAUUUCCUGACCUCAUGUGGGUUAUAUCAAGAUAAAUAUAUUAAGCUACUGAGACAUCACCAAGAUCGUCUCUAGCCUACAGUUCUUCUCUUACAAGUAGCUGCAACUAAGAAAGUGAUGCUAGUGGAAGGAUACCGUUACAGCCAAAUGAGAAGGAAGAGCUGCAAAGAAAUACACAUCUUGUACGUCUUUUUUUUUCUUUCUUUUCCCCCUGCAUUUAACCUAUUUUCAGUAAUUAAUUUACUGAUUGUUUGGAAGGGAAGCUCAACACAGACUGUAAAAGCUUGCAGUGAUUAAAAUCAGGCUCUCCAGCAGCUUUUGGAAGGUUUGUCUCUUCUGAAUUGUAACAGUUAUUGGAACAAUUCCACUGUGAGAUAGUUCUCAAGUUACAUGAUAACUUUUUGAUAUUCUCUUAAUUGAUGACAGAAAUAAUACAUAUGGAAUGACAGUGAUCAGAGUUUUUAUGUUAAUAGUGUAUCCACCAUGGUAUCAGUGACUCUCCUUAAGUUUUACGUAAGUCUUUCUUGCUUCCUGGCAUGGAAGACAGUGGUUUUAAUAUGACCUGGUAUGUUCCAAGAGAUUGUGUCAGUACAGGAGUUAUCUGCUACUUUGUGCUUGAGUGCUUACCAGAAGAGCAUAUGCCACUGAGCACUCAAAGACAUAGGAUGGCAUUCUUGGACAGACCUUGUUGAAAUUGUUACUUCAAAACACUGAGGGAAGAAAAAAAAAGAUCAGGAAGAGGAAAAAGUUGACAAAAGAGAAAAACAGAAAGCUGAUGUAUCCUGUAGAGAAAGCACUAGGCAUCUUGUGUAAUGCUGCUUCUUACUCAGAAAGAGGGAGAAACAGGAAUAUCAUAAGAAAUAAACAUCACGAGAGACCUAGACUCCUUGUGCCCAAAACUGUGGUGUGCUGUUGGUUUGUGGAAUCUCUUGUGUUCCUCAUUUCAGACCUUCUAAUGUAAGGAAAUACUAUUUAUUCUUUGUGUGGAACAAAAUUGCAGAGUACUCUGAGAAAACUCAGAAUACUGGAUACUCAAUUAAUUUUGCCUGUGUUUCAGGGGUAUUUAAAGUUGGCCAGGACGUCCAAACUUGUGGUGUACAUUGUGCAAAAGUUCACCACGAUAAGAUUAACAUGAUUUAAAAGGCUAGCUCUUCACCCAUUCUGUCCUGGUAGGCAAAGAACUGUAUGAACGCGGUGGCUGAGCUUUGCAGCCUGCUCCUGGAGCCGAAAGCAGAUCUGAGAGUGAGAUACUCAGUUCUCCAAAUAUCAGUCCAAAUAUCCAACACACAGCUUAUGUGUAGUUGCCACAUCACAGGGGACCUGACUGAAGUACAGAGGAAAGUGCAAAGUGAUCCACAGGUUGUAGAAGCAAUCUAUCCAUCCCACAGACCCCGCUUCACCAUUGUGCUGGUCACAAAGCUAGAUAUUCUGUGUUUAUUAUGGAGAACUAGGCACUGGUACAAUAUUGGAUGUCUAGCCAAUGCCAAAAAAAUAAUGAAUUAAAUAAAAGACAGACUAAACAGAGCAGAAUAUAUAACCUCAGUAGGCCAUUCCACAGAGCCCUGGCAAAUAGCCUUAGACAGUGUUAACCAAUUAAAUUUGCUUUCACCAUUCUCUGGAGGAUCUAAGUGUUUAAAGUUAUAGACACUUUUCAGAGGCUUGUAAAUAAAUUAAGAGAUAUGUAAAUCUUUGGAAAAGAAAAUGUGGAUGAAAUCACUCUUUAUACUGAUAUCAAACAGCUUACCCAUGCGAAAGCUGUGAUCCAUAAGAACCAGAAAGCUGGUUUUAAAAGUAAAGUAUUCUCAGUGUGAUUUCUUAUUCCUGAAAUAAUAUUGCAACGCAAGCAGGAAACAAUUAUAUGUUUCAUUGCACUCUAGAGGUGAAAGCAGGCUGACUUUGUCCCACACUCCAUUGCAAAAUAAACUUUGCCACACAUACUACUCCUGUCCCUCAGCUAAACAAAGAAGAAGAAGAAGAAAAAAAAAAAAGAGGAUAAGAGUAAGGGAACAUCCGUAUUUAUUUGACGAAUUUGAAUACUGAGAAUUUUAGACUAAACUUAGAGAAAGGUAGUAAGGCACCUUACCAUUCUACUAGCUGUGCUCUCUAGAUGUUUCAAAAAUAUCCCAGAGCAUAAAAUAUGACUGUGCUGAUUAAAUAAGUUUGGGCUAAAGAUGUUCUGAUGGAGAAAUAAAACAGAUUUUGCGUUGAGUAAAUAAGUAACUUCCUGACAGUGAAAUUGUACUAUAACUUUUCUACAGGUUUGACUACUAGAAAAUCCCCUUUUUUUCCACCAUGUCUGCACAGAAAAUUGAAUGGUAGAAAGCUAAACUCAUGAGAUUAAGUAUUCUACCAGGAUGAUAGAGAAAUGGUUCAUUUAAAACAGGGAAAAAAAGAAAAAAGAAAAAAAGAGUAACAAAUCCAGUGUUCUCAGUGGUGAUCCACGGGGAAUUAGACACUACAUCUUCAGACUCAGAAUUCACGAUUAAUUCCAAAAAGUUGGAAGGGAUGCUGUACAAAAAAAAUGCCACACUGAUAUGGACUGUGAGGUCCUGGGGCACUACUGACAUUAAAAAUGUUGUACAACAGCAUGCAUCUCUGAAUGAAGAUCAAAAUAAUGCUUGUGAUGGGUAGAUAGUUGAGGAGCCUGGGCUUUUGCACAAGGCUUGCUCUGAGUAAAGAGGUAUGAGGCCUGCGAAAAUGGUCAGUUGAUCAAGGGAGAAGGGCAGGAAAAUGAGCAGAAGAAAGACGAGUAGGGACAGAAUUAUAGCAUGUUCCACUUAAAAGCAGGCUUUCUUUUGGUUAAGGGGAACAGGCUAUUAACUGACACGGUUUAUAUGGAGUGUAUUUUGGAGAGCUUGUGUAAAGAACAUAAACUGCUUUAUUGUCUUAGAGCUUUCUUUAAAAAACCUAAUUCAUAGUAUUCCAAAUAGUUUUUCUUCAACAUACUCACAAAAUCUGUGUACAUUUAUUAUGUGUUUGAAUAUUCGUUUCACUUAUAUUGUAACUUUCUUUCAAAAAUGACUGAAAAAUUGUUGUCUAAUAUCACAGUGUUUUACAUACAGUAGCUCAGAGCUUUACAUACACAACACUUUAUUGAAGGUUCUGAUCAGCUUGGACUCUUACUUGCACAUCAAAUAAGAAUUAAGUUAGACUUAUGGAAUAAAGGAACGAUAGUAGAAUUGUAUGUGAAAUUGUUCUGGAAUCUCCUUGUCCAUUACAGAAUCCUUUAGCACGCUCCAGACAGAACUGAGCCAUUUAUCACUAUCAAGGUGUGGUUUGCACAUCCUACUUCAAGGAAACAUAAAUUUCAAGAAAAAAAAAAAAAGCUAAAAAUAGUUUUCUAACCCUAUUUUAUGUGCACUGGUGAUGUUUUAGUAUAUGAAAGUACUGUAACACUAGGUGAAGACUGUAGCUGAAAAGAAAAAAAAUGUAUUUCUUAAAAAUAAAACAAUAUUUUAAGAGAUUGACAGCUUAUGUCUCCUGGAAGUCAAGAAACAAUACUGGUGGCUGGAAAAGAUUCAAUUGCUGAUACUACUAUAAAGUAAAAAUAAAACUAAGGAGAAUAUUAAUAUUAUACGACAAUUCAUUCUGUGAAUAUCACUUGUUUCUUUACUUGAGGGAUAGUCCUUUUGUCACUGCUACAGAAUUCUUAGAAGCACUCUAAUUCAUGAAUAUCAUUAAUAAAAAUAACUUUAAAAAUUACAUUUCAUUAAAAGUGUGCAUUAGUCAGUGCAUUCUACAAAUGUGAAUGAAUUUGUCUCUUUGGACUGCUCAUUUACAGUAUUUUCCGAAUAUUCCAUACUCGAAAUGCAAUAACUAUUUGUAAUUGGCUGGAUAAGUCAAAUAGCAGUAUUUUUUCUUGUGGCUCAAUAAAUGUGCUGCUGUACAUACUGGUGCUUGUAAAUGUAAAAUUUUAUCACUAUGUGAAUAUUAGUGCAUGAUGUAUUGAUAUUCUCUUCCUGUAAGAAGCUGUGGCAACAGAACUGUUUCAUGAAUAUUUGCAGAAGGGGAACAGACAAAAGAGGCAGUAUGUUGGAGGUAAAUAAUUUGAACAUUUGUGGUAAUACUCACACUAAAUGUUUUGCAGGAUUUGUUCAGCCUUGCUUAAGAACAUCUUUCCUGUAAACGAAUGGAGAGCUUCUGUUAUACUCCUGUCCUUGCUUCUAGGGAGAAGUGCAGAAUCAUGCGGGCAAGUCUGACCCUAGCAAACUCAGCCAGCUCUCCAGGUGACAUUAGGCUGCAGGAAAAUGUCAAGAAUGGUAGCACAUAUGGAACGUAAGAGGUGGAACAGAAAGCCUUAGAGUUGCUGCAAAUAUAUUCCCUGAAAUAGUAAUUUCCUUCUCAAGAUGGCACAUUCUGCAAUCGCAUUACUUUGAAUAUUUGAUUUCUAUUCCCUUGAUGUUGACCUCACUUCCCACAGAUAUCUGUAGUCCACUCUUCCUGCAAUUUAUAACAGAAAUAGAGACCUAAAGCAAAAUCACAUACUUGUAAGUAAGCUUAGCUUUGGACAUUAUGUGCUAUUGCAACAGUCCCCCUGCAUCUAUGCUGUACUUGAAAUUCUCAAGUCUGAACACUUGUCAAGACCAUGAGAAAAUCCACUGAGUUAUCUGAAAUUUCCAACACUGAUCUUUGGAAAGCAUGUGGGCUUUUGUACCUGG